CUCACUCAAAACAUACUUUUCUGUGGCGGCUAAAACCAUAAUUUGGUCAAAAAAUAAAGUGCAUUAUCCUCAUAAUUCCUGUAAAGAAAGUGUCUGCCAAGCCCCUGUGCCAUCGCUGUGGCCCGCUGCUGUAAUGAGCGAACCACUCUCCUCUCCCCCCAUGCGCUUGAGAGAAAAAUACAUUCUGAUCGUAUAACAUUUCAAAAAGCAAUUGUGGGACAAACACAGAUUUGGAAGCUUCAUCCCCUUGUUCUUAUCGACGAGAGGAGGGUCUCAGCUUUCUGUAGGUAUAAUUUAGAUUUAUUAACUCUCAAUAUUCAGCUCAAUAGAAACUAUUUUACAACCAAGAUAUUUGAUAUGGCUUUGCGAUAUGGAGUGAAAUGCGCACAGGCCAUUGCGAGGACAUAGGCCUAUAGGUCCUGUUGUCUACAAAUGCAAAGUUUUUUUAGGACAUAACAUUCACUGUUGGAUGAAUACAUGACUACUAGCAGUGGGUAUUCUAUUUAGAGUUAGCGAUCUAGUUCAUGUGUUUUGAGUUUCAACCUCCUCAGGUGUUGAACCCAAAUUGAAUUAGCCUGUGAUAUUAGUUAGUACACAUGUAUGUAAUUUAUCUCUAUUGAAAAAAAAACAGGAAAUUCUGGAGUCUAUUUUAACAGUACAAUAUAGCAACUAUAGACUAGUUGUGAACACAAAACUCAUGACAAUCAAUGGAUUAGGUUGCACAUAAAAAUAUCUUGAAUCAUGAAUUCCUGCUUGAAUACCUCAGUAGUGAAUUUAUUACGCUUCUUAAUAAAGCACUACGAAUUACUUUAUAAGAUGGAUACUCAUGACCAACUGUAAUAGUUAGUGGCACCAGUGACACCAGGGGAACAUGUUAGUCUGGAUCCCUGUAAUAGUAAUUAACACUAAGGGUAGAUGUUGAUUCAGGGGAACAUGUUAGUCUGGAUCCCUGUAAUAGUAAUUAACAGUAAGGGUAGGUGUUGAUUCAGGGGAACAUGUUAGUCUGGAUCCCUGUAAUAGUAAUUAACACUAAGGGUAGGUGUUGAUUCAGGGGAACAUGUUAGUCGGGAGCCCUGUAAUAGUAAUUAACAGUAGGGGUAGGUGUUGAUUCAGCGGAACAUAUGACAGGCACAAAUUUUAAAUAUACUGUAGUCUAAGUCUUUUGCUUGGCUUUUAAAACGUUUAAGGCUUGAAGGGCAAUUCUGCCACUUUUCAACCCCACAUCCAUGAUCUCCAGCACCAAACCAAUGUCUACAUAUGUGAAAACUGUUUGUUUCUAUGAUCCGUGUUUAAAAAGAUAAGAAGAAACCUCCUAAAAAAAUGCUUCUCUGUGACAUCACUGUCACGCCCUGGUCUGUUUCACCUGUUCUUGUGAUUGUCCCCACCUCCUCCAGGUGUCGCUUAUUUUCCCCAGUGUAUUUAUCCCUGUGUUUCCUGUCUCUCUGUGCCAGUUCGUCUUGUAUGUUUUCAAGUCAACCAGCGUGUUUUUACCGUGCUCCUGUUUUCUAUUCUCUUUUUCUACUCUUCCCGGUUUUAACCCUUGCCUGUUUUUUCUGGACUCCGUACCUGCCUGCCUGACCCUUCUGCUUGCCCUGACAUCGAGCCUGUCUGCCACUCUGUACCUCUUGGACUCAGAAUCUGGUUUUGAACUUUUGCCUGUCCACGACCAUUCUGUUGCCUACUCCUUUUCUAUAUAAGUAAACAACUAAGACUCUAACUAUCUGCCUCCUGUGUCUGCAUCUGGGUCUCGCCUUGUGCCCUUAUAAUCACAGGGUAGAAUUAAAAGUAAAAAAAAUGUGAUUUUCAAAUCCUGCCACGAGUUUCUAGCCAAAGGGAGGGUAUUUUUUUGCUUUGCUUUGAAAGCCAAAUAACCCUUUUUGGUCCUAGAUAGCAUAUUUUUUUCUAAGAGUGUAGGUUGAUGCCACAAUAUUGAAAUGGCAUGGCUUUGGCUGGCAGUGUUUGAACCUCAGGUUUCAGGUUGAUGACGUCACAGUGCGAUGCUAACUUGGCCAUCCACUACAUACUGUACUCUAAGGACCCACAGCAGCAGGUCACCUCUGGCCAGGUCAAACUGCACAACCCCAGAGGCCAGCAAGGAUCUUGUGAAUGACCUAACAAGAUUGGGACCGUCUGAUCCUCUUGAGGGAAGUCUUCCCUCGACGCGACCCACAACUUAAUCUCUGUGACGUCACUCGCAACGUGGUGACACCAGUGUUGACGGAAUCAAUCCCGUUCAGUUCCCGGUUUUUGGAGUGGAAGUCCAGAGCUGAGCCACAGCCCUUACAAUAAAAUAUGUCACAUUUGUGAAAUUACAUUUU
RNAcentral lists this long non-coding RNA (2318 nucleotides) under Salmo salar (Atlantic salmon). Its description in RNAcentral is "lncRNA (ENSSSAG00000083194.1)". The record is from RNAcentral. Lineage: Eukaryota; Metazoa; Chordata; Actinopteri; Salmoniformes; Salmonidae.